Aquila chrysaetos chrysaetos is the source of this 189-nucleotide long non-coding RNA. RefSeq lists it as uncharacterized. The transcript has 2 exons. Lineage: Eukaryota; Metazoa; Chordata; Aves; Accipitriformes; Accipitridae. The record is from RefSeq and is a predicted model, not a curated record.
GGGAUGCACGCUUCUAAUCCCAGAGGCACCUCCUGCGUAUGUGUACAUAAAAGGUUUUUACGCUUGGCUAACAACUGUAAAACAACUUUCACUCUGGGCUAGCAGAAGGAGGUCCAUCCAGUGCUUUCUGUAGUUGCACGCUCAGUGUCUGUUCUUUGGGAAGCACAAGAAUAAUAAACCCAUUUCUAA